AUUGAACGCUGGCGGCAUGCCUUACACAUGCAAGUCGAACGGUAACGGGCCUUCGGGUGCCGACGAGUGGCGAACGGGUGAGUAAUACAUCGGAACGUGCCCGAUCGUGGGGGAUAACGGGGCGAAAGCUUUGCUAAUACCGCAUACGAUCUACGGAUGAAAGCAGGGGACCGCAAGGCCUUGCGCGGACGGAGCGGCCGAUGGCAGAUUAGGUAGUUGGUGGGAUAAAAGCUUACCAAGCCGACGAUCUGUAGCUGGUCUGAGAGGAUGAUCAGCCACACUGGGACUGAGACACGGCCCAGACUCCUACGGGAGGCAGCAGUGGGGAAUUUUGGACAAUGGGCGCAAGCCUGAUACAGCCAUGCCGCGUGCAGGAUGAAGGCCUUCGGGUUGUAAACUGCUUUUGUACGGAACGAAAAGCCUUCUUUUAAUACAGGAGGGUCAUGACGGUACCGUAAGAAUAAGCACCGGCUAACUACGUG
This 482-nucleotide ribosomal RNA is filed under the name uncultured bacterium. Its description in RNAcentral is "partial 16S ribosomal RNA". It matches the Rfam family "Bacterial small subunit ribosomal RNA", at positions 30 to 507 of the family's 1533-position model. The record is from RNAcentral.